RNAcentral lists this long non-coding RNA (3182 nucleotides) under Salmo salar (Atlantic salmon). RNAcentral's name for it is "lncRNA (ENSSSAG00000112132.1)". Lineage: Eukaryota; Metazoa; Chordata; Actinopteri; Salmoniformes; Salmonidae. The record is from RNAcentral.
CACGGACAACCCCUUGGAGCUUGGCGUCUCUCCAGAGCCACGCAGGGGCGGCGGAGUACAGCGGGAGUCUGGACACGAACCACACAUUGUGCACCACGGGACCCCACCAGCCCCGGCUCGAAGGCACAACUCUCAAGGACAUCGUAAACUGGGGCAGAGAACUUCCUAGCUUCCCACUGCUACAACAAAGAAGAAUCUCAACUGAAAAUGGAGAUGACAGCUUCCGGGAGCUGAACAACACUGUGUCGAGAUGGAGUACCCCCGACCAGACAGAGUACCCCUAACCAGACCUGGUCACAUCGACCCAUGCCACCAACCUGGCCCUCUAAUGGAAGUCCUGGGCAUCCAGACGCCUCUCCCUGCCUCUGCCUGUCCCUCCCGCCUCGAUGGGGGCGUCAAGUAGGGCACUACUCUUCUUCCCAACCAGCAGGCAUUCUCUACCCUUCUCAAACUCCAUUCCUUCUCCCCAGGCCAGCCUUUUUGGGAACAUUGCAGGCAGAUGUGUUCAGAUGAGCAUAUUCUAAUUUAUUAGCCAGGUUAAUGCUCGGCCAGAGGCCCUGGAGGAUCAAUGGUUUUAUUUCCCUAAAAUGCCCGCGUGGUGAGAGGCGGCUCACAGGGAAGUUUUAAUACCGCCAGCACCCCAGUGUGUCCCAGUGAGGACUGGGCCGUAUUGAUCGCACCACACUGAAAGUACGUGCACCUUUUGGGGAAGGAUCUAUUUGUGUCACCCUGGGCUGAGAUGAGGGCUCCGCCGGAGGAGGAGAGAGCCCAGCCAAUGGAGGAUGCCAAAAACAUCAAAACAGCCAUGUUUACAGAUUACCCAAAGGGAAAGCAAAUUACUGCAAUUAUGCAGGCUGUGGGAAUACUGAUAUCAACAUACCUGCUAUUUCUCCCAGAGACACAACUUUUAUCAGGCUGGAACACAAACAAAAACAGCACACUGUUCAUUUGAGUUGAUGGCUAAACUGCAACAAACAUGGUGUGGUUGGUUUUAACGAAGCAAAGCGCUGCACAUCAUAUGCAUAGAAAAUCAUUAGUUGGCCACUAGCUCUACCUCAAGUCACGAGCUGAUUUACUGGUGAACAUCAUUGUUAAUCCAUCUUUCUGUAUGUUGGAUAUGUUUCAACCAAUAAUGACGCAUUUAGAUACCUUUUUACUUUUAUUCCCACCUUUUACCAAACAAUGCCAACUGAUCACCUGAGAAACACCCUAACAUGCUUCCCAGAAAAUGUGACAGAUCUAUCAUUGUAAUACAUCUGUUCAUACAGAACGCAUUUCUGUUGUGGGCUGUAUGUGUGACAUAUUCAUAACACAGACCAUAAUAGUCUAUAUCCUCUUCUGUUCCCCCGAGAGACCAGAAAGGAUGUUGUCAUGUCCAAUUAUCUACACUAUAGAGGUAAAUUACAACUCAUGUCAAGUCUACAAUAUUCGCUACACACACACACACACACACACACAAAAACACACACACACACACACACACACACACACACACACACACACACACACACACACACACACACACACACACACACACACACACACACACAAACACACACACAGACGUACACUCAACAAGGCCAGGUUGCAGAGGACAACAGAUAUUAAUAUUGAUAGAAUAUUGGAAUACACAUUCUCCUGAGGUGCUCCAGGUCAUGUAUGAAUUGGACAGGCAGAUUGGAUUGGCUGUGUUUUUUCUAAAGAUAGAUUGACGUAGACGGUUUUGAGGAGCUAGACUGAUAGAUAGAAAUUGUUUGUGGAGAAACUGUUAUGUUUAUGGAUUUUUGUGAUGGAAUGUAGGGAUUUAAAUGUAUGGCAGAUCAGGAAUACAAUCUCCUCCUGAUUGUAGGUCAGAAGAAUCAAUUGAUGUGCUUCCAGGUCACCAAGUUCCCCAACAUCUAAUAUUUCAAGUUCAAGUCAACUAUCAUAACCAUGUUUUAUCUUUCAUCAUCCUGCAGGUUAGUUUGUGAUGGCUGCUGGUGGUUGUUUGGUGGGUGGACUCUAUGGAGGGUAGGGUACCUUAGCCGAGAAGAACCUAGCCCCAUCUCACCCUGAAGCGGUGCAGAGCUCCGGCCCAAUAAAGCAGGCUGCCUCCCCAGGGCCCCUCUGUCAAGCCUCCAGUCAGCGCUUGUUUUUGCACCAUUUAUUUAGUGUGACACAUCUCCAAUUAAACUGUGGAGGCUGGUGCAUUUCCCCCAUAACUACCUCUUAUUCCUCCCCAUAGACUUUCUGUCACACUGAGGAGAGAGAGAGAGAGAGAGAGAGAGAGAGGAGGGAGAGAUCACAUCUUGCCUGCUAGCUAUAUGAUGACAAUGUCAUUUUCCCCUCAGUGGUUACAAGCCUCGCCUGAAAGGUGCCUUGAAUUAUAAUUAUCAAAAUAUUGAACAAGAUUAUGAUCCUCUGAAAUGAUACUGUCACCUUAAUGUUUGCCUUGCCACCCGUCGACACUUCUAUUUCUCUUUCCUUAUUUUCCAUGGAUCAAAAGGUAUUGAAUUAACACUGAUUAGAUUAUUACAUGAAAUAUUGUAUGAGUUGUAGGUUGUAUGAUACGGAAAAUGAUAUCUUAACUUGCCAAAAACAAGUGCCAUUACUGCUACAUGUAAGUCACUCUUGCCAUACUGUAAAUAAAAACUUCCAACAAUUCACCGUUACAUUAGCAGGCUCAGACUAAACAGUGUUUAGCCUACUCAUCAAAAACACUUUGAGGGGUUACUUUCCUCCACUAUCCUAUUGUGCUCGAAAAUUUGACUGUGAUGUGUCCGUCUUGCUGAAUUUAUAAAGUGCCCAAAAGAGAUCCGACGGUAUAUGACGGGCAUAAGGAAAGUAUUCCUCCCACCCCAUCCCCUCAUCAUCUCUCUGUCCCCCGUGGCACCAGACAGUCACAGGAGUAGUGACUUUGUACGACCCCGUUCCCGUCUGCAAGUGCGCAGCUGAGGGUGGCAGUUGGCAGGGAGGGCUGGUGGGGGAGCGCCCAAAACGGUGUGUCUGCCAAGUAGAGGGGCUAGGGGGAGCCCCAGUGGCAGCUGGGAAGGGUGGGGCGGCCAGCUGUGGAGGAGCAGGAUGGUGCUGGGGUGACUGGGAGAUGCCACCAGACCUUGAGCACUGCACACAUACAUGCGUACACACACAACACACACACACACACACACACACACACACAAACAGGCUACAUGCAGAUCAUU